UGUACUGUUUACAUGCCAUUACCUAGAAACACCUGCUUAUCAUAACAUAACUUAGCAUUUUAUUCUAUUCCCGCAGUCACCUUAGAGGCCAUGUAUUGGCAGCAUGUUGAAUGUUUCCUUUUCCUUUUAUUUAUCACAAUUAAGUAUUAAUUUAUAACAAUAGAAACAAAACAAAUUUUUGUCUUUACUUCCUGAAUAGUCCACAACAAACAAGAAUUACUGGUGCAAAGAAUAAAAAGAAAAAGAAAUACACCACCAAACAAUUUCCAUGGAUUGAAUCCAGGCUACCAAAUUGUAGCUAAAAUUCUAGCUUUUGAGAAAAAUUAGGACCAGCUUUUGAGCUACAAAGACCUCAGACCUAAUGGAUCAGGGACUUAGCUCUGGAAUCAGGAACAGUAAAUAGAAAUAACACAGAAAUAACUUAAAAGAUGUAGCCAUCAUUAUGUUUUACUUCAAGCAGUCUGUAUAUCUGAUGCUACCUUCAGUUUGUCUGGUGAACCCUCUUCCAGCAACAACAGCACAGGUUGCUUUGGACCAACCCUUCUGCUGAGAGCAGCUGGAGGAGCUGGACUAAAUAGUAAAUAAGAGAAAAAAAUGAAAAGUGUAAAAUCAGUGCAAAGCCAGCAAGGCUGUGAAGAAUUGUGAAGUCAAGACCUGGGAGAGGAUGAAAGUCCAUAGAGGUGAACCGGAUAUUUGGGCCCACUCUUCUUAUAAAGGCACUGAAGAUAUCAAUCAGCGUGACCUGACCAGUCCCUGCACUCAAGGAACUCAUAGGUCCAGGUGCCCUGUGCACUUCCCGCUUCCUAAAGGGUUUGGAAGAGACAUUCUCACAGCCCCUACAGGUUUCCAAAUGGAAAUACUGUUUAAAUAAGGAUUAAAGACACAUACGAAACUCAGAUAAAAUAUUUACAAUAUAUAGGACCAGUUAAAAAUGCUUGCUUGGCACAGCACCUGGAUCAAGAUUAUCCAUCACAAAUCAGAGUCCUUACCAUGUGUCUGGGAGAGAGCUAAACGCUGGGGAUACUAAUUAACCAUGACCUGGUACUCGGCCUUCUGGAGGUCACUAAUGGACAGCACGACGGGACAGAGGAAAAAAGAAAGCAUAAAAGCACUGAAAAAUUGGAACCUUUCACCUUCUAGUCCUUUCAAGGAGCCUGGAGGGGAUCAUCCCCCCAAUGACCGGCAGGCUUUUGGGGGAAGGCUCAAGGUCACUGCAGCUGGACUGAACCUGCGCUGGUCCCCGUGGGGCUCACGGCCACCCGAAGCUGCUGGAAGAUGAGCCUGCACGUUGCUCACUGACUCA
Long non-coding RNA from Camelus dromedarius (Arabian camel), 1303 nucleotides. RefSeq lists it as uncharacterized. The record is from RefSeq and is a predicted model, not a curated record. NCBI's taxonomy places the organism in Eukaryota, Metazoa, Chordata, Mammalia, Artiodactyla, Camelidae. The transcript has 7 exons.